Molecule: ribosomal RNA, 2926 nt
Filed under: Escherichia coli
Lineage: Bacteria; Pseudomonadati; Pseudomonadota; Gammaproteobacteria; Enterobacterales; Enterobacteriaceae
Description: bacterial LSU rRNA
Rfam family: Bacterial large subunit ribosomal RNA
Source: RNAcentral
GGUUAAGCGACUAAGCGUACACGGUGGAUGCCCUGGCAGUCAGAGGCGAUGAAGGACGUGCUAAUCUGCGAUAAGCGUCGGUAAGGUGAUAUGAACCGUUAUAACCGGCGAUUUCCGAAUGGGGAAACCCAGUGUGAUUCAUCACACUAUCAUUAACUGAAUCCAUAGGUUAAUGAGGCGAACCGGGGGAACUGAAACAUCUAAGUACCCCGAGGAAAAGAAAUCAACCGAGAUUCCCCCAGUAGCGGCGAGCGAACGGGGAGCAGCCCAGAGCCUGAAUCAGUGUGUGUGUUAGUGGAAGCGUCUGGAAAGGCGCGCGAUACAGGGUGACAGCCCCGUACACAAAAAUGCACAUGCUGUGAGCUCGAUGAGUAGGGCGGGACACGUGGUAUCCUGUCUGAAUAUGGGGGGACCAUCCUCCAAGGCUAAAUACUCCUGACUGACCGAUAGUGAACCAGUACCGUGAGGGAAAGGCGAAAAGAACCCCGGCGAGGGGAGUGAAAAAGAACCUGAAACCGUGUACGUACAAGCAGUGGGAGCACAGAGCAAUCUGUGUGACUGCGUACCUUUUGUAUAAUGGGUCAGCGACUUAUAUUCUGUAGCAAGGUUAACCGAAUAGGGGAGCCGAAGGGAAACCGAGUCUUAACUGGGCGUUAAGUUGCAGGGUAUAGACCCGAAACCCGGUGAUCUAGCCAUGGGCAGGUUGAAGGUUGGGUAACACUAACUGGAGGACCGAACCGACUAAUGUUGAAAAAUUAGCGGAUGACUUGUGGCUGGGGGUGAAAGGCCAAUCAAACCGGGAGAUAGCUGGUUCUCCCCGAAAGCUAUUUAGGUAGCGCCUCGUGAAUUCAUCUCCGGGGGUAGAGCACUGUUUCGGCAAGGGGGUCAUCCCGACUUACCAACCCGAUGCAAACUACGAAUACCGGAGAAUGUUAUCACGGGAGACACACGGCGGGUGCUAACGUCCGUCGUGAAGAGGGAAACAACCCAGACCGCCAGCUAAGGUCCCAAAGUCAUGGUUAAGUGGGAAACGAUGUGGGAAGGCCCAGACAGCCAGGAUGUUGGCUUAGAAGCAGCCAUCAUUUAAAGAAAGCGUAAUAGCUCACUGGUCGAGUCGGCCUGCGCGGAAGAUGUAACGGGGCUAAACCAUGCACCGAAGCUGCGGCAGCGACGCUUAUGCGUUGUUGGGUAGGGGAGCGUUCUGUAAGCCUGUGAAGGUGUACUGUGAGGUAUGCUGGAGGUAUCAGAAGUGCGAAUGCUGACAUAAGUAACGAUAAAGCGGGUGAAAAGCCCGCUCGCCGGAAGACCAAGGGUUCCUGUCCAACGUUAAUCGGGGCAGGGUGAGUCGACCCCUAAGGCGAGGCCGAAAGGCGUAGUCGAUGGGAAACAGGUUAAUAUUCCUGUACUUGGUGUUACUGCGAAGGGGGGACGGAGAAGGCUAUGUUGGCCGGGCGACGGUUGUCCCGGUUUAAGCGUGUAGGCUGGUUUUCCAGGCAAAUCCGGAAAAUCAAGGCUGAGGCGUGAUGACGAGGCACUACGGUGCUGAAGCAACAAAUGCCCUGCUUCCAGGAAAAGCCUCUAAGCAUCAGGUAACAUCAAAUCGUACCCCAAACCGACACAGGUGGUCAGGUAGAGAAUACCAAGGCGCUUGAGAGAACUCGGGUGAAGGAACUAGGCAAAAUGGUGCCGUAACUUCGGGAGAAGGCACGCUGAUAUGUAGGUGAAGUCCCUCGCGGAUGGAGCUGAAAUCAGUCGAAGAUACCAGCUGGCUGCAACUGUUUAUUAAAAACACAGCACUGUGCAAACACGAAAGUGGACGUAUACGGUGUGACGCCUGCCCGGUGCCGGAAGGUUAAUUGAUGGGGUUAGCGCAAGCGAAGCUCUUGAUCGAAGCCCCGGUAAACGGCGGCCGUAACUAUAACGGUCCUAAGGUAGCGAAAUUCCUUGUCGGGUAAGUUCCGACCUGCACGAAUGGCGUAAUGAUGGCCAGGCUGUCUCCACCCGAGACUCAGUGAAAUUGAACUCGCUGUGAAGAUGCAGUGUACCCGCGGCAAGACGGAAAGACCCCGUGAACCUUUACUAUAGCUUGACACUGAACAUUGAGCCUUGAUGUGUAGGAUAGGUGGGAGGCUUUGAAGUGUGGACGCCAGUCUGCAUGGAGCCGACCUUGAAAUACCACCCUUUAAUGUUUGAUGUUCUAACGUGGACCCGUAAUCCGGGUUGCGGACAGUGUCUGGUGGGUAGUUUGACUGGGGCGGUCUCCUCCUAAAGAGUAACGGAGGAGCACGAAGGUUGGCUAAUCCUGGUCGGACAUCAGGAGGUUAGUGCAAUGGCAUAAGCCAGCUUGACUGCGAGCGUGACGGCGCGAGCAGGUGCGAAAGCAGGUCAUAGUGAUCCGGUGGUUCUGAAUGGAAGGGCCAUCGCUCAACGGAUAAAAGGUACUCCGGGGAUAACAGGCUGAUACCGCCCAAGAGUUCAUAUCGACGGCGGUGUUUGGCACCUCGAUGUCGGCUCAUCACAUCCUGGGGCUGAAGUAGGUCCCAAGGGUAUGGCUGUUCGCCAUUUAAAGUGGUACGCGAGCUGGGUUUAGAACGUCGUGAGACAGUUCGGUCCCUAUCUGCCGUGGGCGCUGGAGAAUUGAGGGGGGCUGCUCCUAGUACGAGAGGACCGGAGUGGACGCAUCACUGGUGUUCGGGUUGUCAUGCCAAUGGCACUGCCCGGUAGCUAAAUGCGGAAGAGAUAAGUGCUGAAAGCAUCUAAGCACGAAACUUGCCCCGAGAUGAGUUCUCCCUGACUCCUUGAGAGUCCUGAAGGAACGUUGAAGACGACGACGUUGAUAGGCCGGGUGUGUAAGCGCAGCGAUGCGUUGAGCUAACCGGUACUAAUGAACCGUGAGGCUUAACCUUACAACGCCGAAGGUGUUUUG